RNAcentral lists this ribosomal RNA (497 nucleotides) under uncultured bacterium. Its description in RNAcentral is "SSU rRNA". It matches the Rfam family "Bacterial small subunit ribosomal RNA", at positions 26 to 518 of the family's 1533-position model. The record is from RNAcentral.
AGGAUGAACGCUAGCGGCAGGCUUAAUACAUGCAAGUCGAGGGGCAGCACAGGUAGCAAUACUGGGUGGCGACCGGCAAACGGGUGCGGAACACGUACGCAACCUUCCUUUAAGCGGGGAAUAGCCCAGGGAAACUUGGAUUAAUACCCCAUAAGAUUAUGGUGUGGCAUCACACAGUAAUUAAAGCUCCGGCACUUAAAGAUGGGCGUGCGGCUGAUUAGGUAGUUGGCGGGGUAACGGCCCACCAAGCCAACGAUCAGUAACUGGUGUGAGAGCACGACCAGUCACACGGGCACUGAGACACGGGCCCGACUCCUACGGGAGGCAGCAGUAAGGAAUAUUGGUCAAUGGACGCAAGUCUGAACCAGCCAUGCCGCGUGGAGGAUGAAGGCCCUCUGGGUUGUAAACUUCUUUUAUCUGGGAAGAAACCCAUCUUUUCUAAGGUGGUUGACGGUACCAGUUGAAUAAGCACCGGCUAACUCCGUGCCAGCAGCCGC